CAGUAUAGUGGUUAGCAAUGCUGACUGCUGUGCAGUAGGGCCUGGGUUCGAAUCCCGGAGA
This 61-nucleotide transfer RNA is filed under the name Trichonephila inaurata madagascariensis. Its description in RNAcentral is "tRNA-Ser". Lineage: Eukaryota; Metazoa; Arthropoda; Arachnida; Araneae; Nephilidae. The record is from RNAcentral.